RNAcentral lists this ribosomal RNA (465 nucleotides) under uncultured bacterium. RNAcentral's name for it is "partial 16S ribosomal RNA". It matches the Rfam family "Bacterial small subunit ribosomal RNA", at positions 338 to 795 of the family's 1533-position model. The record is from RNAcentral.
CCUACGGGAGACUGCAGUAGGGAAUCUUCCACAAUGGGCGAAAGCCUGAUGGAGCAACGCCGCGUGGGUGAAGAAGGUCUUCGGAUCGUAAAACCCUGUUGUCAGAGAAGAAAGUGCGUGAGAGUAACUGUUCACGUUUCGACGGUAUCUAACCAGAAAGCCACGGCUAACUACGUGCACGCAGCCGCGGUAAUACGUAGGUGGCAAGCGUUAUCCGGAUUUAUUGGGCGUAAAGGGAACGCAGGCGGUCUUUUAAGUCUGAUGUGAAAGCCUUCGGCUUAACCGGAGUAGUGCAUUGGAAACUGGGAGACUUGAGUGCAGAAGAGGAGAGUGGAACGCCAUGUGUAGCGGUGAAAUGCGUAGAUAUAUGGAAGAACACCAGUGGCGAAAGCGGCUCUCUGUUCUGUAACUGACGCUGAGGUUCGAAAGCGUGGGUAGCAAACAGGAUUAGAUACCCUGGUAGUC